UUGCCUUCAUGGAGUAUUCUCUGAGGGCUGGCUUAUAUUUAUAUACACACGAAGAAAACUUUCAAUGCAUACUUCGAGUACAUUCGCAGUCAAAUGAACUACUAAUAUUUCUUCUGAACUUCGCCACUAACGGACAUUCUAUUGAAUCAGUAUCUUUCGUAUUGGAGGAGUAUCUUGAAGAACCUAAUUAAACUAUGGCUCAAGAUUUUACGAAGAACGUUUUGAAUCAAUACCUCAGAUACGUGAAUAAUUUGUCGUCGCAAAGCAAGUCAUUACAAACUGGUGAAGGAUGCUUUCUUGGUGUAACGGCAGCACACUCGGCGCGUAUUCGAGUCCUGGCAAAGGCUAAGGUUCGAGUCCUGGCAAAGGCAUUGCACACUCUUCACCUCCACUUCUUCAGAAAACCUAAUGACUCUACAAAAGGCCCCGAACUAAAAGGUGGUGAACAAUAAUUCGUCGCCUUCAGGAUUUAGCGAUUGGAUCCCCUAAUCCCUAGCCGCCCUUUAAAAGGGGAAGUAUAUAAGGUAUUUUCUUCCUCCUUUCUGCAGGCCUUCGUGGUGUAACGGUAGCACAUUCGGCACGUACUCGAGUGGUCCAGUUUCGAGUCUAAGUGCAUUGCUCACUUUUCCUGUCUUCUCCUUCAAAAGAAAAAAAAAAAAAAAAAAAAAAAAA
Molecule: long non-coding RNA, 672 nt
Organism: Stegodyphus dumicola
Lineage: Eukaryota; Metazoa; Arthropoda; Arachnida; Araneae; Eresidae
Source: RefSeq, a predicted model, not a curated record